RNAcentral lists this long non-coding RNA (591 nucleotides) under Phoenix dactylifera (date palm). RNAcentral's name for it is "long non-coding RNA (PDAC_LNC021069)". Lineage: Eukaryota; Viridiplantae; Streptophyta; Magnoliopsida; Arecales; Arecaceae. The record is from RNAcentral.
UGAAAAAUAGGGAGCAUUCUCAACCAUUGAUCAAGGCUAGAUGAUGAUCCAAAGGCCCUUAUUGGUGGUGCCAUAAGAAAGAAGGAGAGAGAGAAUGAUGCGGUUGAAGGGAAAGUAGUUAGGAUAUGAUGACGUGUCAUCUUUAUCCAAUUCAAGUGGCACUUCUUCAUGAGGCGCCAUUCUAAAUUCACCGUAUUUCCUUCUUUCUCACGCCAUCUGAUGUUGACUAAGUCAAUAUCACAAGUCCAUCACGAGAUCAUGAUCUCCCAUCAUCCCAUGAUGAAGAUCCAAUGGCUCUAAUCCAUGGCGCCAUCCAUUUGAUCCUUCUCUUCAUCCAAAUGUUGAUCCAACGGUCAAAAUUAAAUAUUUUAUCAAAUCUAAUCCAAUUAGACUCAAAUCAAGCCAAUUUAGGUGCCAACUCUUGGCUAACCCAUAUUAGAAUAUGAUCUAAUCAAAUUAGAUCAAUUUAGAAUCAGAUUCGAAUCCAAUUCGAAUCAGAUUCGAAUCCAGUUCGAAUCAGGAGCUAAGGUUUGCAACACCUGUUAGGAUGUUUAUCUUGCAAACAUGAUCUAAUUCAAUUAGACCCUUGAU